This 420-nucleotide ribosomal RNA is filed under the name uncultured bacterium. Its description in RNAcentral is "bacterial SSU rRNA". It matches the Rfam family "Bacterial small subunit ribosomal RNA", at positions 362 to 773 of the family's 1533-position model. The record is from RNAcentral.
UUGUUCGCAAUGGGCGCAAGCCUGACGACGCAACGCCGCGUGGAGGAUGAAGGUCUUCGGAUUGUAAACUCCUGUCGAACGGGACGAACACCUUUUCAGUUAACACCUGGAGAGGCUGACGGUACCGCCCGAAUAAGCCCCGGCUAACUCCGUGCCAGCAGCCGCGGUAAGACGGAGGGGGCAAGCGUUGUCCGGAAUCACUGGGCGUAAAGGGCGCGUAGGUGGCUGCGUGCGUCGGUGCUGAAAGCGCCGGGCUUAACCCGGCGAGGCGUGCCGAUACGACGCAACUCGAGGCAGGGAGAGGGUAGCGGAAUUCCGGGUGUAGUGGUGAAAUGCGUAGAGAUCCGGAGGAACGCCAGAGACGAAGGUGGCUACCUGGUCCUGACCUGACACUGAGGCGCGAAAGCGUGGGGAGCGAAC